RNAcentral lists this ribosomal RNA (468 nucleotides) under uncultured bacterium. RNAcentral describes it as "partial 16S ribosomal RNA". It matches the Rfam family "Bacterial small subunit ribosomal RNA", at positions 28 to 507 of the family's 1533-position model. The record is from RNAcentral.
GACGAACGCUGGCGGCGUGCUUAACACAUGCAAGUCGAACGGAAAGGCCCUGCUUUUGUGGGGUGCUCGAGUGGCGAACGGGUGAGUAACACGUGAGUAACCUGCCCUUGACUUUGGGAUAACUUCAGGAAACUGGGGCUAAUACCGGAUAGGCGCUCCUGCUGCAUGGUGGGGGUUGGAAAGUUUCGGCGGUUGGGGAUGGACUCGCGGCUUAUCAGCUUGUUGGUGGGGUAGUGGCUUACCAAGGCUUUGACGGGUAGCCGGCCUGAGAGGGUGACCGGCCACAUUGGGACUGAGAUACGGCCCAGACUCCUACGGGAGGCAGCAGUGGGGAAUAUUGCACAAUGGGCGGAAGCCUGACGCAGCAACGCCGCGUGCGGGAUGACGGCCUUCGGGUUGUAAACCGCUUUCGCCUGUGACGAAGCGUGAGUGACGGUAAUGGGUAAAGAAGCACCGGCUAACUACGUG